This 73-nucleotide transfer RNA is filed under the name Podarcis lilfordi (Lilford's wall lizard). Its description in RNAcentral is "tRNA.Lys". Lineage: Eukaryota; Metazoa; Chordata; Lepidosauria; Squamata; Lacertidae. The record is from RNAcentral.
AGCUGGAUAGCUCAGUCGGUAAAGCAUAAGACUCUUAAUCUCAGGGCUGUAUGUUCAAGCCCCAUGUUGGGUA